RNAcentral lists this long non-coding RNA (242 nucleotides) under Carica papaya (papaya). RNAcentral's name for it is "long non-coding RNA (CPAP_LNC009196)". Lineage: Eukaryota; Viridiplantae; Streptophyta; Magnoliopsida; Brassicales; Caricaceae. The record is from RNAcentral.
ACCAUAUAAUGGUUGAGGUAGCAAGCUACAAAAUGCCAUUUAAUAUCCACCAAACAGCCAAAAGAGAAGAAAUUGUUAAAACAUAUCAACAACCAAGAAAGGGGUUCUUUUUAGAAACCAAAUCUUCUAGCAAAUUGAGGAUCAUUAAAUAGUCUUUCACCUGGCUUUUUUGCAUGUUCUUGCUUUCCUAGGAACAAAAAGUGGGCUAUUGAGCAUUCAUUCUAGCAGUCCAAAACAUAAUC